Non-coding RNA from Equus quagga, 552 nucleotides. Lineage: Eukaryota; Metazoa; Chordata; Mammalia; Perissodactyla; Equidae. The record is from the annotation of a RefSeq genome assembly.
UCAGCCAUGCUCCUGUUUCUCAUCUCAAUACUGGGGAUUGUAUUUACCCUGAGAGAUGCCAGAGCCCAGUCAGUGACCCAACCUGAUGGCCAUGUCUUGGUCUCUGAAGCAGCCUCACUGGAACUGAGGUGCAACUAUUCCUAUAGUGCAGCAGUUUACCUCUUCUGGUACGUCCAGUACCCCCGCCAAGGCCUCCAGCUUCUCCUUAAGCAUUUGUCAGGCCAGGACACCCGCAUUCCAGGCAUUAAAGGAUUUGAAGCUGAAUUUAGGAAGAGUAACUCUUCCUUCAACCUGAGGAAAUCCUCUGCCCAUUGGAGCGACUCGGCUGAGUACUUCUGUGCUGUGAGUGACACAGUGCCUGGGACUGCAGGGGGAGCUGAACACAAACCACUCAGGGGAGUGGAGUUUUCAGAGACUCAAGAUGCCUUCCUGUGGUAUUUUGAACAAUGUUUUAUUGUGAUUCCUUGUCAUCAGCUCAACCACAUUGCCCCCAAGGACCACGAGGGGCGCUUCAUGCAGAUUGGUGUGAGAAGGAGAACUACCAGCUUCUGA